Molecule: long non-coding RNA, 972 nt
Filed under: Lynx canadensis (Canada lynx)
Lineage: Eukaryota; Metazoa; Chordata; Mammalia; Carnivora; Felidae
Description: lncRNA (ENSLCNG00005009050.1)
Source: RNAcentral
GGAUGGGGUCCCUGGGGGUGCACCCGAGGUUGGGUGGUUCUCCCUGUGGCCCUGGGCCCCCCAUGUGUACGAGCUCCUGGUGGGUUUGGAGGAGGAGGGAAUACCAGUCUGUCUGCUGAAGCCAUUUGGCCCGUGCGCCCUGCGGCGGUUUUCCGGGGGUGGGGGGAGUUGCAGCUCUGCCUCCUGGCUGACCGUUUCAUUUGGCCCCUUGGGAACGUUGAGGGGCCGGCCCAGGACCUUGUAACUCCUGGGACCACCACCCUCCCCGCCUUUGAAACUCUCAAAUUCUUGCAGCUGCCCCUCGCCCCUGCCAUCGCACGUAGCCCCCACAGACCCUCCAGCCUGGCUUCGGAGGGGUUCACUGCUGUCCCCCUGGUUUUCCCUGCGUCACAGAAAUAAGCGUGGGUGCGUGGAAGGCGGGGACAGGCCUGCUCACGAGGCCACAGUUCACUUUGCUGAGGCUCUGUGCUUCCUGUGGGUGGGGUCUCUGCAGUCACCUGGCUCUUCUGCGGCUCAUCCUGGGAGGAGUGUGGGAGCACUUCCUGCUUGGAUGGUCUCUGGGCUGCAUGUGCUGGGAGUCUGGUGGCUUUUCCUCGGGGUCCCUGGACCACCCCCCACAAGGCUGGUUUCACAUCUUGGGAACUUGUUGCGCCCGCUGGGAACUGGAGGGGGUCCCUGCCCGGAUCCACACCCUCUACGCACUCUCCUUGAAAGGCUCGUCUGCCACAUCCUCCGGUGUUGUGCACGGAGUCCCCCCCACCAGCGACGGGACGGCGCCCCCAGGCUGCGGCUCGCUGACUGUGGCCAGGUGUGUGCCAGGCGGCCCGGAAAGGUCUCUUCCUGCCAUCUUGGGGCAGCUGGGUCUCCGCACAGGGAUGUGUCCGGGUGCCGUGACACCAGCCGCCGGAGCAGGCUGUCCCCGAGCCCUCUCCCGGGGAGGGAUUCGUGCCCACCCCAUAGUCCGUAGCCAUU